GGAGCAUGGAGAGAGAGAGGCGACGGUGGUGUGGCAAGAGGUCAGCCGUGGUAGCCAAGGCAGACUGGAAUCAAAGCUAAGCCCAGCUGCUGGCUAGCAAGGCAGCCCUGAGCCUCAGUUUCUUCAGCUGUGAAACGUUGGUGUUCACCACCUUCUUCCCUGCAUCACCCACCCACCACCCGCACCCCCAGCAGCUACACACACUGAGGACACGGAAUUCCCUGUCCCCUGCGGAGACCUACAGUUGGCUGAGAAUGCUGCAUGGCUUGCCAAGUGGUGCCAUGUCCACUCCUGGGAUCCGAAGCGGCGAACCCUGGGCCACCGAGAAGCGGAAUGUGCGCACUUAACCGCUGCGCCACCGGGCCGGCGCCACUUGUAUGCUGUUUCAAAGGCAACUUUCCUAAAAGGUUGUCAAUUUUCAUAAAGAUCAAGAAUCCUAGUAAGCCUUCUCAAUGAGUUCAAGAAGAUUUAAUUUCAUUUGCCACUGUUUUCCCAUGAAGGAUAUUUAAGAGUA
Molecule: long non-coding RNA, 514 nt
Filed under: Equus asinus (donkey)
Lineage: Eukaryota; Metazoa; Chordata; Mammalia; Perissodactyla; Equidae
Description: lncRNA (ENSEASG00005028882.1)
Source: RNAcentral